This 1139-nucleotide long non-coding RNA is filed under the name Triticum aestivum (bread wheat). RNAcentral's name for it is "long non-coding RNA (TAES_LNC013353)". Lineage: Eukaryota; Viridiplantae; Streptophyta; Magnoliopsida; Poales; Poaceae. The record is from RNAcentral.
GACAAAGGGAGGCGGAGAAUAGAGCAUGGCGGCGGCGCCCUAGGUCAGACUUCUGCGUGCAUCCAUCUGCUCCGGCGCUCCCCACAGGCUUCCGACCUCCGUCGCUCACCUCCGACCUCUGGCCUCUACCCCUUCACUUCGUUGACCUCCGCCCUCCCUCGCGCCGUCGAGCGCACCGGCGCACGGCUCUGCGGAGCAAGAUAGAAGCCGCCGCCGACGCACAAGGGUGAGCAGUACGCCAGUUCCUUCUUUCAUCUUUGUUUCGAUCUGGAGCUUUCUUGUUUGGUAGUUGGCUAGUUGCAAACAAACACUUUAGGGAAAAAGAAUCAAACUGCUGAACAUGUGAAACAUUCGUCAGACUAAUACAAUACCAUUCAUUCGUCAGACUAACAUCAACAAAUCAUAGGGAGUGGCAAGUAGCAAAAGGAACUAGAUUGCAUUCCAUACAAACCAUAUCAAAUAGGACUCAGGCAUCCACAAAGCAUGAUGAAUUGCUGUCAUAGCAAAAGAAAAAACAACAAGGUCUCAUUCAGAUUACCAUGGAAAAAUCACAUUUGUUUCCUAUUUAGCUUUCCAGUAAUUUCUACUGUUGGUUCUGCUGCUGGUCACUGAUCUAAAUGGAAAUUACCUGACUUAAUUUUUCAGGUAUUCAAAAGUGCCAACCUUGGUGCUGGUUAUGCUGCUGGUCAAGCCUACUUACCUGAAACAAUUCCUGAUGUUACUCCCGACCGUGUUAGCUAGAAAAAGAACGAAAGGUGGAAGGCAUGGAUACACUUCAUAGUUCAGAAUGAUGAUCCGAAUCAUGCUAACUGGACAAGUUUUUAUGCCAGAAUUUGUCUUGAGCAGUUCUGCUUGUGCUUGUACUAGACAAGUUUUUGUUCCAGAAUUUCUUCAUGUGGUUUGGCUGGACAUGUACUAAAUUAGUGCUUGUAGUUGACUUGUAGUCUUCUCCUAGAUUGUUAUACUGGAACAUAAAUUCUUCAUGUUUCAGAAUUUCUUCAAGUAGGUAACCAGGCUGUAGCUGUACUGGACAAGUACUAAAUUUGUUUUUCCAUGUGGCCAAACCAUGUGUUGUUUAAAAAUUUGCGUCAACUUUGGUUAUUUUGGUUAUUACCAAAACCAAACCGAAAGUAAAUGAU